This 2000-nucleotide long non-coding RNA is filed under the name Cyanistes caeruleus (blue tit). RNAcentral's name for it is "lncRNA (ENSCCEG00000018432.1)". Lineage: Eukaryota; Metazoa; Chordata; Aves; Passeriformes; Paridae. The record is from RNAcentral.
AUGAAUAUCAAAAAGCAGUUAUAUAUUUCAAUAGUUUCCAGAGCAGCAACGGUUGCGUUACUUCUGCGCGUUCCUUCCUCCCAGCGUCAGGAAUUAAAAUGUCAGGCUACGAAGUCAUAUGCAGCCAGAAUUUUUUCCAGCUUUAUUCUGUCUAUUAAACUGGGAAAAUACAAAGGAAGUCUGGGAUCUGCAUUGUAGGCACUGAGCAGUUCAGCUGACAUGAAAUUGAUGCCAACCUUAAGAAACCUGAGCUGAAACACUGUCUACAUCCCUCAGGCCACCCAACUGCCUUCAGAAUCCACUACCUGGCUGAGGAGGUAACAUCACUCACCUAUCACAAGCAAUGGUGAUAAAGAUGAGUGUUGCUGCAGCACCUUGGGAAGCAUGAAUGUCCAGUUCCUCUCCAUUCCUUGUUUUCCUCCACUCCUUGCUUUACAGGUAUAACUUGCUUUUUUUUUGUAUUUCAGCAAAACCAGGAUGUAAUGUUGAUCCAUUGAUGAACCAUGACACACCUCCAAUUUACACAUGUGCACACACAUAAUAGGGCUACUUCAAAACACUCCAAGGCCACUUUAAACCCAUUUUUCCUCUUUAUACUCUUCUGACAUGCAAGGUGGCAUCAUUCCAUAAAAAAAGUAUUAAGCUAGUAACAAAAUACUAUUAGCUUUUGCCAGUCUUUGGAAUUGAUACUUGUCACUACAGCUGUUAAUGCUGCAUUAAGCAGCCGUACUUAAAAAACCCCCAAACAACCAACUCCCAUUAAAUACAUCACUCUUACCAGGUGAGUGGUUUUCCUCUUCCCAAGAGACAAAUGUAACCCAUUUUUUACUCCAGUCAGCUGUUUACCUCCCCUCUUCCUAGAGUGAAGGAGAGCCUCUGUAGGGUAGUAGCCUUUCUAGGGUUUGGACUAAGAUUUGGACUCCUUCAUGCAACUUUCACUUAGAAUCCAAACAUUUCUUCAAAACUCCAAAAGCUGUUAUUCCAUCAGUUCCUCAUAAGAUUGCCCACCCUCCCAUGUUCAAACAUCCCUGCUGUGCCCCUUGGCACUGAUUGAAGGCUGCUGCAGCUCAGUCCUUCCCUGCUGUGGGUCUCUUCUUCCUCAGACCUUUUGGAACCCCAUCAGGAACCUGGCUUCAGGCUCUCCUCAGGAGAUUGCAGCAAGCAAUCCAUCCAGAUUUCUCAGUGUGAUACGAGCACAGUCUGACAGCCAGGCUAUUGUGACCCCUUGAGUUCAGCCAGGAUCCUCACCCAGCAGCAGUGAAUUCCAGUCAGCACAAGCCCACUUUGGUACAAACCUUUAUUAGCUGACACCUCCUUGCCACAGCUAUCAUUGAAACAGCUGACAUUCAUAUUUUACAGGUACCAUAAAAAGUUACAAAGUGUAAACUAUGCUGCGUAGUCCACAAAGUAAAAAUACUCAGGAAUGACUUUCUGUCAACAGAAUUUGGCACAGAGGUGUUCACACACGAGGGAACAGGCAGGUAAUUCAUCCUGAGUGUGUCAGGGAGGCAGUGUUUGCACGGUUUAGAGGCAGAGCUUCUCCUGUUGAUGGAUGGCUGGCUUCCCUGGGAUUACCUGUGCCAUUAAAAGGCACAAAGAGAAACACCCCACGAAGCAGGCCCCAGGCAGUGUGGCAUCCCCACCAGGAAUCUGAGUGCUGCCCAGUUCUUCCAGUUCCAGCUGUGGGAGGGUGUGUCACCAUUCCUACCAGCUCCUUGCUCUUGCUUUGUCCAGCAUGAGCUGCAACUGGAGACUCUUGCUCCAACAAACAUGGGCAGCUUCCUCGUGCCUGUAGCAGCGCUGGGACUGGUGCCUGUGGUAGCCAAAAUGGGUCUGUGGCUGCCAGGGCUCUGGCCUUUAGGCUCAGGAUUGUUUUAUAGAUCCACACACAGGUCAAUACCUUAGAUGACACCAUGUCUACCACAUUUAGAGACAGAAGUUCUACUUUCAAGUAGUCCUGGGUGCACUAGACAAUAAAAAAAGGUACUUUGGAAGGACCA